Molecule: ribosomal RNA, 1467 nt
Filed under: Escherichia coli
Lineage: Bacteria; Pseudomonadati; Pseudomonadota; Gammaproteobacteria; Enterobacterales; Enterobacteriaceae
Description: partial 23S ribosomal RNA
Source: RNAcentral
GGGUUGUGAGGUUAAGCGACUAAGCGUACACGGUGGAUGCCCUGGCAGUCAGAGGCGAUGAAGGACGUGCUAAUCUGCGAUAAGCGUCGGUAAGGUGAUAUGAACCGUUAUAACCGGCGAUUUCCGAAUGGGGAAACCCAGUGUGAUUCGUCACACUAUCAUUAACUGAAUYCAUAGGUUAAUGAGGCGAACCGGGGGAACUGAAACAUCUAAGUACCCCGAGGAAAAGAAAUCAACCGAGAUUCCCCCAGUAGCGGCGAGCGAACGGGGAGSAGCCCAGAGCCUGAAUCAGUGUGUGUGUUAGUGGAAGCGUCUGGAAAGGCGCGCGAUACAGGGUGACAGCCCCGUACACAAAAAUGCACAUGCUGUGAGCUCGAUGAGUAGGGCGGGACACGUGGUAUCCUGUCUGAAUAUGGGGGGACCAUCCUCCAAGGCUAAAUACUCCUGACUGACCGAUAGUGAACCAGUACCGUGAGGGAAAGGCGAAAAGAACCCCGGCGAGGGGAGUGAAAAAGAACCUGAAACCGUGUACGUACAAGCAGUGGGAGCCUCUUWAUGGGGUGACUGCGUACCUUUUGUAUAAUGGGUCAGCGACUUAUAUUCUGUAGCAAGGUUAACCGAAUAGGGGAGCCGAAGGGAAACCGAGUCUUAACUGGGCGUUAAGUUGCAGGGUAUAGACCCGAAACCCGGUGAUCUAGCCAUGGGCAGGUUGAAGGUUGGGUAACACUAACUGGAGGACCGAACCGACUAAUGUUGAAAAAUUAGCGGAUGACUUGUGGCUGGGGGUGAAAGGCCAAUCAAACCGGGAGAUAGCUGGUUCUCCCCGAAAGCUAUUUAGGUAGCGCCUCGUGAAUUCAUCUCCGGGGGUAGAGCACUGUUUCGGCAAGGGGGUCAUCCCGACUUACCAACCCGAUGCAAACUGCGAAUACCGGAGAAUGUUAUCACGGGAGACACACGGCGGGUGCUAACGUCCGUCGUGAAGAGGGAAACAACCCAGACCGCCAGCUAAGGUCCCAAAGUCAUGGUUAAGUGGGAAACGAUGUGGGAAGGCCCAGACAGCCAGGAUGUUGGCUUAGAAGCAGCCAUCAUUUAAAGAAAGCGUAAUAGCUCACUGGUCGAGUCGGCCUGCGCGGAAGAUGUAACGGGGCUAAACCAUGCACCGAAGCUGCGGCAGCGACRCUAUGYGUUGUUGGGUAGGGGAGCGUUCUGUAAGCCUGYGAAGGUGUACUGUGAGGUAUGCUGGAGGUAUCAGAAGUGCGAAUGCUGACAUAAGUAACGAUAAAGCGGGUGAAAAGCCCGCUCGCCGGAAGACCAAGGGUUCCUGUCCAACGUUAAUCGGGGCAGGGUGAGUCGACCCCUAAGGCGAGGCCGAAAGGCGUAGUCGAUGGGAAACAGGUUAAUAUUCCUGUACUUGGUGUUACUGCGAAGGGGGGACGGAGAAGGCUAUGUUGGCCGGGCGACGGUUGU